CUUCUUACACAGCACACAGAGCAGGACAAAAGACAAGCCACACAACAAACAAGAUGACAGAGGGUGCAGGAAGUUAACAAACCAACAGCACAGUCAGUCUGUGGGCACACAGUUGAGAUAAGGCUUCGGUCUGGUCCAGAUACUUCAGACAUCGUUGAGUCUUAAGGCCAACUAACCAACCAAAGAUCCACAGAAAUGAUCCAGCAGAAGAACUACUGCCAUUCGUCUGGAAAAUAAACUCAACACCUUGUACCUCUGACAAAACCGACAGAAGGCACUACCCAGAAAACUACAGCCACUAUUGGAUUCGUUCAGUAUCACUGCUUCCGUCAGAUUCUGCACAGGCCCAGCUUCUUCACAUCACUAGCUUUUGACUAAAGUUCUAGGGCAGAUAAAAAUGAGAGGAACUGUGAGCCAAGGUUUAACAGCUGGUCCCAUACACAGCAUGGGGACACCUGGGAAAUUUGACCCUGGAUUUACUUCUUGGACCACUGCUCUCCAGAAUAUAGUGAGUUAAGGAGAUCCCAGGAAUCACCAAAAUCAAUCCCCAGCUUGUCACAGCAGCUUAAGAAGUCUGUACUUCUACAAUACAUUUACAAUUCAUAAAAAGUCAGUAAUAGGCUAAAAUGUUAAGGAAAAACCCCUAAAUUUUGCAGUACUGGCAGACACUGACUUAUUGUAGCUAAGUUCACUGUCUCUGGCACCCAACUGAGCAACUGAAAUAAUGCAUUUUUAUACUAGUGACAACCCUCGUAUAGGAUGCGGCCUAGAAAGGAGAGGA
Long non-coding RNA from Zalophus californianus (California sea lion), 781 nucleotides. RefSeq lists it as uncharacterized. The record is from RefSeq and is a predicted model, not a curated record. NCBI's taxonomy places the organism in Eukaryota, Metazoa, Chordata, Mammalia, Carnivora, Otariidae. The transcript has 4 exons.